Molecule: unclassified non-coding RNA, 252 nt
Filed under: Hevea brasiliensis (rubber tree)
Lineage: Eukaryota; Viridiplantae; Streptophyta; Magnoliopsida; Malpighiales; Euphorbiaceae
Source: RNAcentral
GAAGCAUUUCGGUUAAAGUUUCAUUCUUUUUCUCCAUAAUGGAAGGUGGAUCCCCAGAUCGAGAAUCCGUGGAAUCUGGGACAAAAAAAUCUAGUAUUUCUUCAGGUGGGAGAGUCCAAGAUCGCAAAGAAUUUCUCCGUAGGUUUGUAGAUAGCAAAAGCCUGAUUGAAAACCUUAAGACAUGGUAUGAAGAGUUACGAGAGGAACCUCCCUUUGAUGUUCCUUUUGAAUUGAUAGAUCUUCAAAAGUUUG